GUGUCUGGUGGGUAGUUUGACUGGGGCGGUCUCCUCCUAAAGAGUAACGGAGGAGCACGAAGGUUGGCUAAUCCUGGUCGGACAUCAGGAGGUUAGUGCAAUGGCAUAAGCCAGCUUGACUGCGAGCGUGACGGCGCGAGCAGGUGCGAAAGCAGGUCAUAGUGAUCCGGUGGUUCUGAAUGGAAGGGCCAUCGCUCAACGGAUAAAAGGUACUCCGGGGAUAACAGGCUGAUACCGCCCAAGAGUUCAUAUCGACGGCGGUGUUUGGCACCUCGAUGUCGGCUCAUCACAUCCUGGGGCUGAAGUAGGUCCCAAGGGUAUGGCUGUUCGCCAUUUAAAGUGGUACGCGAGCUGGGUUUAGAACGUCGUGAGACAGUUCGGUCCCUAUCUGCCGUGGGCGCUGGAGAACUGAGGGGGGCUGCUCCUAGUACGAGAGGACCGGAGUGGACGCAUCACUGGUGUUCGGGUUGUCAUGCCAAUGGCACUGCCCGGUAGCUAAAUGCGGAAGAGAUAAGUGCUGAAAGCAUCUAAGCACGAAACUUGCCCCGAGAUGAGUUCUCCCUGAGACUACGAGUCUCCUGAAGGAACGUUGAAGACGACGACGUUGAUAGGCCGGGUGUGUAAGCGCAGCGAUGCGUUGAGCUAACCGGUA
This 652-nucleotide ribosomal RNA is filed under the name Salmonella enterica. RNAcentral's name for it is "partial 23S ribosomal RNA". It matches the Rfam family "Bacterial large subunit ribosomal RNA", at positions 2254 to 2900 of the family's 2925-position model. Lineage: Bacteria; Pseudomonadati; Pseudomonadota; Gammaproteobacteria; Enterobacterales; Enterobacteriaceae. RNAcentral also lists the same sequence under 1 other name. The record is from RNAcentral.